AAUAUUGUACAACGGGGGCAACCCUGCUGCAGCCAUGACGCGUGUGUGAAGAAGGUCNNNGGAGGNUNAAGCACUUUAAGUUGNGGNNACGGGCUUUACGCUAAUACCCUGAGGUGUUGACGCUACCUACAUAAGAAGCACCGGCUAAGUCUGUGCGAGCAGCCGCGGGAAUACAGAGGGUGAAAGCGUUGAUCGGGAUUGCUGGGAGUAAAGCGGGCGUAGAUGGGUCAGUAAGAUGGGUGUGAAAAACCUAGGCUUAACCUGGGAAGUCCUUUCAUAAAUGCUGAGCUAGAGUACGGUAGAGGGUAGUGGAAUAUCCUGUGUAGCGGUGAAAUGCGUAUAGAUAGGAAGGAACACCAGUGGCGAAGGCGACUACCUGGACUGAUACUGACACUGAGGUGCGAAAGCGUGGGGGGCAAAC
RNAcentral lists this ribosomal RNA (421 nucleotides) under uncultured bacterium. RNAcentral's name for it is "partial 16S ribosomal RNA". It matches the Rfam family "Bacterial small subunit ribosomal RNA", at positions 360 to 773 of the family's 1533-position model. The record is from RNAcentral.